GGGGAAUAUUGGACAAUGGGCGCAAGCCUGAUCCAGCCAUGCCGCGUGAGUGAUGAAGGUCUUAGGAUUGUAAAGCUCUUUCACCGAUGAAGAUAAUGACGGUAGUCGGAGAAGAAGCCCCGGCUAACUUCGUGCCAGCAGCCGCGGUAAUACGAAGGGGGCUAGCGUUGUUCGGAAUUACUGGGCGUAAAGCGCACGUAGGCGGAUAUUUAAGUCAGGGGUGAAAUCCCGCAGCUCAACUGCGGAACUGCCUUUGAUACUGGGUAUCUCGAGUAUGGAAGAGGUGAGUGGAAUUCCGAGUGUAGAGGUGAAAUUCGUAGAUAUUCGGAGGAACACCAGUGGCGAAGGCGGCUCACUGGUCCAUUACUGACGCUGAGGUGCGAAAGCGUGGGGAGCAAAC
This 400-nucleotide ribosomal RNA is filed under the name uncultured bacterium. Its description in RNAcentral is "bacterial SSU rRNA". It matches the Rfam family "Bacterial small subunit ribosomal RNA", at positions 356 to 773 of the family's 1533-position model. The record is from RNAcentral.